This 737-nucleotide ribosomal RNA is filed under the name Pseudomonas plecoglossicida. RNAcentral's name for it is "bacterial SSU rRNA". It matches the Rfam family "Bacterial small subunit ribosomal RNA", at positions 56 to 790 of the family's 1533-position model. The record is from RNAcentral. Lineage: Bacteria; Pseudomonadati; Pseudomonadota; Gammaproteobacteria; Pseudomonadales; Pseudomonadaceae.
UGCAGUCGAGCGGAUGACGGGAGCUUGCUCCUUGAUUCAGCGGCGGACGGGUGAGUAAUGCCUAGGAAUCUGCCUGGUAGUGGGGGACAACGUUUCGAAAGGAACGCUAAUACCGCAUACGUCCUACGGGAGAAAGCAGGGGACCUUCGGGCCUUGCGCUAUCAGAUGAGCCUAGGUCGGAUUAGCUAGUUGGUGGGGUAAUGGCUCACCAAGGCGACGAUCCGUAACUGGUCUGAGAGGAUGAUCAGUCACACUGGAACUGAGACACGGUCCAGACUCCUACGGGAGGCAGCAGUGGGGAAUAUUGGACAAUGGGCGAAAGCCUGAUCCAGCCAUGCCGCGUGUGUGAAGAAGGUCUUCGGAUUGUAAAGCACUUUAAGUUGGGAGGAAGGGCAGUAAGCUAAUACCUUGCUGUUUUGACGUUACCGACAGAAUAAGCACCGGCUAACUCUGUGCCAGCAGCCGCGGUAAUACAGAGGGUGCAAGCGUUAAUCGGAAUUACUGGGCGUAAAGCGCGCGUAGGUGGUUUGUUAAGUUGGAUGUGAAAGCCCCGGGCUCAACCUGGGAACUGCAUCCAAAACUGGCAAGCUAGAGUACGGUAGAGGGUGGUGGAAUUUCCUGUGUAGCGGUGAAAUGCGUAGAUAUAGGAAGGAACACCAGUGGCGAAGGCGACCACCUGGACUGAUACUGACACUGAGUGCGAAAGCGUGGGGAGCAAACAGGAUUAGAUACCCUGG